This 1021-nucleotide long non-coding RNA is filed under the name Homo sapiens (human). RNAcentral describes it as "HSALNT0235702". The record is from RNAcentral. Lineage: Eukaryota; Metazoa; Chordata; Mammalia; Primates; Hominidae.
GGCCUUUCUAACUGGACAGCACCCUCAGGUCCUCACUCGCUGUCUCCUGGUGCCUUGUUGAACACAGAACUUUUCUCUGGGGGCUUCAGUCUCACAGGGGCAUUGCUGGAAGCCAGACAGUGGCUUCUAGAUUAGCAUCCUCCUCAAGCUGAUGGGGGUGCUUCUCCUACUGGGGCUCAGCCCAGAGUGCUGGGGCUCCGGGUUUCUUCUCAGGGACCUACAAGCCUUUAAGCCUCUCUGGCUUUUCUUUUCUCAUCUGCUGGGCAAAAUCCACUUUCUUUCUUUUUAGGUGGAAAAAAAAUGUUUAUGUCCAGAUGCCCGGUCCCUGUGAUGAUAGUGUGGAUUGGGUGCAAAAAUGCUUCAGCAUUUUGGUUCUUAACAUUUAAAGGCAGAUUUUUAGAAUAAGAAAACAAACCAAAACAGCAUUCCAACAUUCUUACAUUGAUAGCACGGAUUCCAAGACUUUUGUCUCUACUGCAGAAUUACAAAAGUCUGCACAAGAAUUCAAGCAAUUAUCUCGAUACCAUCUGCACCUGAGCGCAGUGCAUAGACGAGGCCCCACCUGCUGCUGCGGAAAGGGGCAAAGAAUAGAAAAACAACCACUUAACAGCAAAAUGUGACUUCGCUACCUAUCCAAAGGAUGAUCAUUGAUGUCCUGAGAGAACCAAGAAAUCACGCACUGGAGGACCCCUGACCGGGAGGAAAGGCAGGGGUCUUUACUCAGUAGAUCUUGAAUAAGAACACUCUCUUGCAAGACACAGUUGGGUCACAGCUGGCCUUGUGCAAUGAAAACCAAAGGGGAACUUCUGCUUACUGGGUUUCUACAGAUAGAGAUGAAACUACAUCCUCUCUCUCAAGAAACAGGAAAAGCCACGCAGGAUGAGUGAGGAUGUGCGGUGGGUACCCACACACCCACCAUGGGGAUGUGCAGCAAAACCAACUGCAGCAGGUGUUUUGGCAAGAGCUAGCGGGCUUUUUUUGUUUGUUUGUUUUUUGAGACAGAGUCUCGCACUGUUGCCCA